Molecule: unclassified non-coding RNA, 413 nt
Filed under: Hevea brasiliensis (rubber tree)
Lineage: Eukaryota; Viridiplantae; Streptophyta; Magnoliopsida; Malpighiales; Euphorbiaceae
Source: RNAcentral
AAAGCAUGCAAGAUUUCAAUUCACAUACUGAAAUUUUUGAGAAAUACAAUUACCAAGUGUUUGUUUUUCCUUUUCUUUUCUCACAAAGGCCAAGUUAAGGGCAUCGAAGUCGUAGAGGGUAGUUGACCUAGUUACAAAAAUAGCCACACAAAGUGUUAUGAGACUGAUGUGAUGUAAGCCUUGGAAGGCAGUAGAAAACGGUUGUGAUAUUCAGCCAGAGCCCACAAUGGGAAGAUGUUUCUGUGUGCUGCGCAGUGUAGCAUGCAGUUCUUCAUGAACACCCCCGUGGUUUCCUGUUGAGGAAAAUCGCCAUCUUCCAAUUGAGAAUCGAUUAUGAGCUUUGCAGCACUGUGAAGAGUUGUAGGGUCUCAAUCCAUCUGCCCAUCACAAAUUAGACCCAUCAUCGCCCAAGA